This 344-nucleotide ribosomal RNA is filed under the name Hydnum repando-orientale. RNAcentral's name for it is "partial 28S ribosomal RNA". It matches the Rfam family "Eukaryotic large subunit ribosomal RNA", at positions 1 to 334 of the family's 3401-position model. Lineage: Eukaryota; Fungi; Basidiomycota; Agaricomycetes; Cantharellales; Hydnaceae. The record is from RNAcentral.
UUCUGACCUCGAAUCAGGUGGGACUACCCGCUGAACUUAAGCAUAUCAAUAAGCGGAGGAAAAGAAACUAACAAGGAUUCCCUUAGUAACUGCGAGUGAAGUGGGAUGAGCUCAAAUUUAAAAUCUGGUAGUCUCUGGCUGCCCGAGUUGUAAUCUAGAGAAGUGUUUUCUGUGCUGGACUGUGUUUAAGUUUCCUGGAUAUGGAACAUCAUAGAGGGUGAGAAUCCCGUCUUUGACACAGACUGCCAGUACUCUGUGAUGCACUCUCAACGAGUCGAGUUGUUUGGGAUUGCAGCUCAAAAUGGGAGGUAAAUUCCUUCUAAAGCUAAAUAUUGGCGAGAGAC